GAUGAACGCUGGCGGCGUGCCUAAUACAUGCAAGUCGAGCGAACGGACGAGAAGCGUGCUUCUCUGAUGUUAGCGGCGGACGGGUGAGUAACACGUGGAUAACCUACCUAUAAGACUGGGAUAACUUCGGGAAACCGGAGCUAAUACCGGAUGAUAUUUUGAACCGCAUGGUUCAAAAGUGAAAGACGGUCUUGCUGUCACUUAUAGAUGGAUCCGCGCUGCAUUAGCUAGUUGGUAAGGUAACGGCUUACCAAGGCAACGAUGCAUAGCCGACCUGAGAGGGUGAUCGGCCACACUGGAACUGAGACACGGUCCAGACUCCUACGGGAGGCAGCAGUAGGGAAUCUUCCGCAAUGGGCGAAAGCCUGACGGAGCAACGCCGCGUGAGUGAUGAAGGUCUUCUGAUCGUAAAACUCUGUUAUUAGGGAAGAACAUAUGUGUAAGUAACUGUGCACAUCUUGACGGUACCUAAUCAGAAAGCCACGGCUAACUACGUG
Molecule: ribosomal RNA, 497 nt
Filed under: uncultured bacterium
Lineage: Bacteria
Description: partial 16S ribosomal RNA
Rfam family: Bacterial small subunit ribosomal RNA
Source: RNAcentral